CGGAGGUGAUGUCAAACCUGCUACCCUGACCCACCGUGGAGGGCAAAGACUGAUUUAAUGAGGCUGAUCC
Molecule: small nucleolar RNA, 70 nt
Organism: Pogoniulus pusillus (Red-fronted tinkerbird)
Lineage: Eukaryota; Metazoa; Chordata; Aves; Piciformes; Lybiidae
Source: RefSeq, a predicted model, not a curated record